This 68-nucleotide transfer RNA is filed under the name Anatolichthys sureyanus. RNAcentral's name for it is "Aphanius sureyanus tRNA-Cys". The record is from RNAcentral. Lineage: Eukaryota; Metazoa; Chordata; Actinopteri; Cyprinodontiformes; Aphaniidae.
AGCCCCGAGGUGUUUCCUACAUAUCGGAUUGCAAAUCUGAAGAAGCAGGGUUACACCUGCCGGGGCUU